RNAcentral lists this ribosomal RNA (253 nucleotides) under uncultured bacterium. Its description in RNAcentral is "partial 16S ribosomal RNA". It matches the Rfam family "Bacterial small subunit ribosomal RNA", at positions 524 to 776 of the family's 1533-position model. The record is from RNAcentral.
UACGGGGGGAGCAAGCGUUGUUCGGAUUUACUGGGCGUAAAGGGCGCGUAGGCGGCGCGGUAAGUCACUUGUGAAAUCUCUGAGCUUAACUCAGAACGGUCAAGUGAUACUGCUGUGCUAGAGUGCGGAAGGGGCAAUCGGAAUUCUCGGUGUAGCGGUGAAAUGCGUAGAUAUCGAGAGGAACACCUGAGGUGAAGACGGGUUGCUGGGCCGACACUGACGCUGAUGCGCGAAAGCCAGGGGAGCAAACGGG